RNA transcript from Camelus dromedarius (Arabian camel), 5924 nucleotides. It is a transcript of the gene named KAT8 regulatory NSL complex subunit 3, with no coding region annotated. Lineage: Eukaryota; Metazoa; Chordata; Mammalia; Artiodactyla; Camelidae. The record is from RefSeq and is a predicted model, not a curated record. The transcript is spliced from 23 exons.
GCCGGGGCGUGGAGGCGGUAACGCGCACGCGCGUUGGGAUCCGGCCCGGGCCGAGCGCGCGGCCCGACGAUUGCGGGUGACUAGCAUGCAGAUAACCAUUCUUUGACCUGCAGCCCCUCUUCUGACAUGGCCCACCGCGGUGGGGAGAGGGACUUCCAGACUUCAGCGCGGCGCAUGGGCACCUCGCUGCUCUUCCAGCUUUCAGUGCAUGAGCGGGAGCUGGACCUGGUGUUUCUGGAUCACAGCUAUGCCAAGCCGUGGAGUGCCCACCCAGAUGCCAGUAGUGCCCGCCCCACCCGCAUGCUCUUUGUUACUCCCCGGAGGCAACACGAAAGUCCCAUUGAGUCGGACGUCCCAAUAGACGUGGAGACAAUCACAUCGACCCCUGUGCCACUGUACGACAAUCAGAAGGCACGCAGCGUGAUGAACGAGUGUGAGCGGCACGUCAUCUUCGCCAGGACCGAUGCGGAUGCCCCUCCCCCGCCGGAGGACUGGGAGGAGCAUGUCAACAGGACUGGCUGGACAAUGGCCCAGAACAAGCUAUUCAACAAGAUCCUCAAAGCCCUACAGUCUGACCGGCUGGCCCGCUUGGCCAACGAAGGGGCUUGUAACGAGCCCGUGCUGCGCCGUGUUGCUGUGGACAAGUGUGCGAGGAGAGUGCGGCAGGCUCUGGCAAGCGUGAGCUGGGACACCAAGCUGAUCCAGUGGCUGCACACCACCCUAGUGGAGACCUUGAGCCUACCCAUGCUGGCGGCCUACCUGGAUGCUUUGCAGACACUGAAAGGGAAGAUCCCCACCUUGAUUGACCGGAUGCUUGUGUCAUCCAACACGAAGACCGGAGCUGCAGGAGCCGAGGCCUUGUCCCUCCUGUUGAAGAGGCCCUGGGACCCUGCCGUGGGGGUGCUUUCUCAUAACAAACCAAGCAAACUCCCCGGCUCUCCUCUCAUUCUCAUUGCCUCCUCCGGACCCUCCAGCUCCGUGUUCCCCACCUCACGCCGCCACCGCUUCUGGCAGUCGCAGCUGUCCUGCUUAGGCAAGGUCAUCCCUGUAGCCACCCAUCUGCUGAACAAUGGGAGUGGGGUAGGAGUUCUGCAGUGUCUUGAGCACAUGAUUGGGGCAGUGAGAAGCAAAGUGCUGGAGAUUCACAGCCAUUUUCCCCACAAACCCAUCAUCUUGAUUGGCUGGAAUACAGGAGCUUUGGUGGCCUGUCAUGUGUCGGUGAUGGAAUACGUCACUGCAGUUGUCUGCCUCGGGUUUCCUCUGCUUACCGUGGAUGGCCCCAGAGGGGAUGUGGAUGAUCCUCUCUUGGAUAUGAAGACUCCAGUCCUCUUUGUCAUUGGUCAGAAUUCCCUGCAGUGUCACCCUGAAGCCAUGGAGGACUUCCGGGAGAAGAUUCGGGCUGAGAACAGCUUGGUGGUGGUUGGGGGAGCUGAUGAUAAUCUCAGAAUAAGCAAAGCAAAGAAGAAAUCAGAAGGGUUGACUCAGAGCAUGGUGGACAGAUGUAUUCAGGAUGAGAUUGUGGACUUCCUGACUGGAGUGCUCACUCGCGCUGAGGGGCACGUGGGCUCUGAGCCUCGGGACCAGGAUGCUGAGAAGAAAAAGAAGCCCCGGGAUGUGGCCCGCAGAGACCUGGCCUUUGAGGUCCCUGAGCGGGGCAGUCGACCUGCCUCACCAGCUGCCAAGCUGCCUGCCUCACCCUCGGGCUCAGAGGAUCUCUCCAGUGUGUCCAGCAGCCCCACCUCCAGUCCCAAGACCAAAGUGACCACGGUGGCUUCUGCCCAGAAGUCCAGUCAGGUUGGAAGCACUCAGUUGCUGAAGAGACACGUCCAGCGGACGGAGGCUGUGCUGACCCACAAACAAGCCCAAGCACAGUUUGCUGCUUUUCUGAAACAAAAUAUGCUGGUGAGGAAAGCUCUUCCUCCCGGCACCUCCUCCUGUCUCUUUGUUCCUAUUUCAUCAGAACAAACGGAAGAAGCUGAGAAAGAGGAUCUCAGGGUCCAGCUGAAGCGGCACCAUCCCUCCAGCCCUCUUUCUGGCAGUAAGACUCCCAAGCGACCCAAGAUCAAGGUGUCCCUUAUCUCCCAGGGGGACACAGCUGGGGGGCCUUGUACUCCCCCCCAAGGAGGAGCUCCAGAAGCCACAGGAGGGAAGCCCAUCACCGUGGCACUGGGGCAAGCUUCAGCCGGGGCCAAGGAGCUCGCAGGGCUUCUCGCUACCAGCAAGUCAUGUGCUUCUGAAGGGGGAGUCUCAGCCAGCCCAGUGUCCUCAGUGGUCUCCAGCAGCACUGCACCCAGUGCCUUGCACACACUCCAGAGCCGCCUCGUGGCCACCUCUCCUGGCAGCUCCCUCCCAGGGGCCACAUCAGCCAGCAGCCUCCUCCAAGGCCUCAGCUUCAGCUUGCAGGAUAUCAGCAGCAAGACCUCUGGCCUCCCAGCAAGCCCCUCCCCGGGGCCACCCCCACAGGCCACCAGUGUGAAGUUGCCCACCCCCAUGCAGAGCCUGGGUGCCAUCACCACGGGCACCAGCACCAUUGUCCGUACCAUUCCUGUGGCCACCACUCUCUCCUCCUUGGGUGCCACUCCUGGUGGGAAGCCCACAGCCAUCCACCAGCUGCUGACCAAUGGGGGCCUCGCUAAGUUGGCAAGCAGCCUCCCUGGCCUGGCUCAGAUCUCUAACCAAGCAUCAGGCUUGAAGGUCCCCACCACCAUUACUCUGACACUGCGUGGCCAGCCCAGCCGAAUCACCACGCUGAGCCCCAUGGGUUCAGGAGCAGCCCCAGAGGAGCCCACCUCCCAGGCGCUUCCCUCCAGCUCACAGCGCCUGCCUCCAGCACCCUGAAGAUGCCAAGUGAUAUGUCCUCCUUUACCAGGUUGGUGAUGGCUGCUGCACGGUGAGGCUAGGGCACAUGUGCUGUCCUGCUGAGCUGGCCACUUGUCUGAGGACCUCUUUAAGACAGUCAUUUUUGCCUCUCUGCCAACUGUCUUGAGGGUUGGGCCUCUGCGUCUUGUGAAACCAUUGGGCAAGGUGAUAUAGUGCCAGCAAAGGGGGCUUUGUCCUCUAGCAUCUGUGAGUCUGGUUCCCAGAAUCCCCAGGCUCCUCAGCAGAUCUGGCCGUGUGUGGAUCGGAGGCACCUCUUCCCCAGCAUUAGCUGUGACUUGACCCAAGUAGCGAUGCGGGACUGCUCUCUGCAUUUCAUAAAGGAGUUCCUUUUCAUAGUCUGUGCUGCCCAUGCCAAAUUGGGAAGAGAUGUCCGUGUGGUCUGGGGCUGCAGGCGUUGGGACUGAGAGCCCUUUGCUGAGGAGUGGGACCAUCCUGGCCCGCUGGCCGGUGGUUCAGCGCCAGAAGGGCUUGUUUUGUGCAUUGCUGUUGCCUUCACCAAGCAGCCAUGGGAGAGUGCUCCCCAGGCAGCUCCCUCUUAGGAACCACGCUGGAUACUGGGUAGCCUGCUGCGACCUGGGAACUCCUUGCUUCAGACCCAUGACAGGGCAGAGAGAACUGGGCCGUUAUCUUUCAGUCCCUCUGGCCACUUGGAGAUGUGGGGAGCAGCAGUCUCCAGGAGGUGAAAGCUGGCUUCUUUCCUUUUUCCAUCAUGCUUUGCGUAGUUCCUGCAUCCAGAAACCCUGCAGGUCCAGAAAAGCUGAAGAAGAGGAAAGGAACAGCAAGUGACGUGGCUUGAAGGGCUUGCCAGUAACUCCUGUGGUGAAAACAGUUUGAGCUUGAGGCUUCGCUUCUGGUACCUGAGGAGCUGUUGAUUCAACUGGAGAUGAGAAGGAUUUGCCCAACCAGAGGGAAGAAACCUCAGCCCCUGACAUUUCUGUCUCCAGUGCUUGGAAGUGAAACAGGGAUAACCGCUAAGUUAACACCACGGCCAUCCCAGGAAGCGGAGGCAUCAGGACAACGAAAGCCGUGCUUCAGUAUUUCUGUUCCAUGUGACUUUUGUGUCUUCCUGCUUAGAAGCAGAACGAUUAUUGACAUUGACUCUGCCGUGCAAGGCUCUUGGUACCAGUCUGAGCCCUGGAGGUAGAGGUCCCUGGAAAAGUGAUCACUGAAGACGGAGCUCUGAGCCCUUCCUUAUGGCUUCACAAUACUUGUGUGCAAAGGUGAGGAAACUGAGGCACAGAGAAGUCCCACAGCAGGAAGUGGCAGAAGCAGGACUGAACCCAGGCAAUCUGAUGCCAGUGUCUCUCUUCUACUCUGCGCUGUGCUGGGGUUCUGAGAUGGGAGACCGGAAGUGGAGAUUAGCACAGGAGGUGAGGAGAUGGUGACUUGGCCUUCAUGUGACCCCUUUCAGUUUACUACCCACCAGACCUAGAGUGAUUGCUGCUGUCCUGCUGGGCUCUUGGAUGGGCCUGAGUCAGUAGGUGGGGGUCCCCUGCCCUUGGUCCUGAGAGAUUGAAAUCCUUUUGCAUAUCCUAUACCUCUACCACCCUCCAAAAAAUAAAGACUUAGAGAUGGAUGAAAUUCCAACCUCCACAUUCUUUGUGGACUUGUAUCCAAGGGAACCUUCCUUCCCAUCCUUAAAUUCCAGGUCCGUACAUGUAGCAUUGGAGCCCCCAUGGGUGGAAGCUGUAGUUCUGGUAGACUGCUUGGAGGGUCUGGUACGCAGGACCUCAUCCUGUUACCAUCCUUGGUAGAGACCUGAUGUGUCCAUUCCCUCACUUUCAGCUCUGGCCUCACUGACUUGGUUGAGACAGGUGAAGUGAGAGAUCAGGAUUAGAUUGCAGAACAGGGGCAAGGCCAUAGCAAAGUAUGAUGCAGAAAAAAACUUUACCUUUUUAUCUCCCUUUCUAAAACAUAAGUUUUAGUCAGGGUUGAUGGUUACAAGGAGCAGAAACUAUUCAUCACCCAAAUUAGCUCUAAAAGGCAGUAUUCUCUCAAUAGGUAUUUUCAGUGACAGGGAGCCUGACAGUUUCUGCUGCUUGCCUCAUGACAUCAACUGACUUGGAAUUGCCAGGAACCGGUUUUGAUCCUGUUGUCACAGGGUUUUUUCCCAACCAUUUGUGUAUGGUCGAUUUCUGCCUUUCAGUUCAAAUUCUGAACACAGUGGGUUGGUUACCGCUUAUGAGUUGGUUCUUCUUAUCCUCUCACCCCAAUCUAAUAAUAAUGUCCCAAGGAUGAAGUCAUAGGAUUCAUAUUAUUACCCUUCUGAGAGAGAAGGGAUUUAAAAAACAAAACAAAACUGUUGGGCUACUUAGAUGUGUGUAUGUAUGUGUUUGUUUUUUUAACUUGCAGUGAUGGUUUAGUUUUUUAACUUGUGUGUUCCCUUCAUCCAGUUUCCUCUAGUACUUAAAACUCACAUAACUAUAGUACAAUAUCAAAACCAAAAAUUACACUGGUACAAUGUGUAUGUAUAGUUCUAUGUCAUUUUAGUCCAGUAACCAUAAUCAAGAUACAGACUAUUCCAUCACCAUGAAGAUCUCCCUUAAGUUACUCCGUUAUAGUCACAUCCAUCCCCUGCUCUUCACCAUUUCCAGCCUGUAACAAUCACUAAUCUUUUCUACAUCUCUGUGUGUAGAAUUAUGUAUAAAUAGAAUCCUACAGUACUGACUUUUUGAGAUUUGCUUUUUUCCUGGCUUUUUUCCACUCAGCACAAUUCCCUCAGUGUCCAUCCAAGUUGUUGUGUGUUUCAGUAGUCUAUUUUCUUUUUACUGCUGAAUAUUAAUGUUCCAUGGAAUGGAUGUACCAGUUUUUGUAACCAUUCACCUAUUGAGGGACAUCUUGAUUGUUUCCAGUUUGGCACUAGUAUAAAUAAAGCUUCUGUGAGCAUUUGUAAGCAGGUUUUUGUGUGUAUAUCAGUUUUCAUUUCUCUGGAAUAAAUGCCCAGGAGUGUGGUUAUUGGGUCACAGAGUAAGUUUUUAUUUUUUUUAAAGAAAAUGUCAAACUGUUUUCCUGAGGAGCCAUACCAUUUUACAUUCCCACCAGUA